RNAcentral lists this ribosomal RNA (253 nucleotides) under uncultured bacterium. Its description in RNAcentral is "partial 16S ribosomal RNA". It matches the Rfam family "Bacterial small subunit ribosomal RNA", at positions 524 to 776 of the family's 1533-position model. The record is from RNAcentral.
UACGUAGGGUGCAAGCGUUAAUCGGAAUUACUGGGCGUAAAGCGUGCGCAGGCGGCCAUGCAAGACAGAUGUGAAAUCCCCGGGCUCAACCUGGGAACUGCAUUUGUGACUGCAUGGCUAGAGUACGGCAGAGGGGGAUGGAAUUCCGCGUGUAGCAGUGAAAUGCGUAGAUAUGCGGAGGAACACCGAUGGCGAAGGCAGCCCCCUGGGUUAACACUGACGCUCAUGCACGAAAGCGUGGGGAGCAAACAGG